This 304-nucleotide ribosomal RNA is filed under the name Listeria monocytogenes. Its description in RNAcentral is "bacterial SSU rRNA". It matches the Rfam family "Bacterial small subunit ribosomal RNA", at positions 1034 to 1340 of the family's 1533-position model. Lineage: Bacteria; Bacillati; Bacillota; Bacilli; Caryophanales; Listeriaceae. The record is from RNAcentral.
ACAGGUGGUGCAUGGUUGUCGUCAGCUCGUGUCGUGAGAUGUUGGGUUAAGUCCCGCAACGAGCGCAACCCUUGAUUUUAGUUGCCAGCAUUUAGUUGGGCACUCUAAAGUGACUGCCGGUGCAAGCCGGAGGAAGGUGGGGAUGACGUCAAAUCAUCAUGCCCCUUAUGACCUGGGCUACACACGUGCUACAAUGGAUAGUACAAAGGGUCGCGAAGCCGCGAGGUGGAGCUAAUCCCAUAAAACUAUUCUCAGUUCGGAUUGUAGGCUGCAACUCGCCUACAUGAAGCCGGAAUCGCUAGUA